UCUUCGCUAGUACAUCGGUUAGUAUUUCCGCUUUUCAAAUAUCUUGAGCGCGGACGAGCGGGGUUCGAUUCCCCGGCGGAGAA
RNAcentral lists this transfer RNA (83 nucleotides) under Trichosporon asahii var. asahii CBS 2479. RNAcentral's name for it is "tRNA-Glu". The record is from RNAcentral. RNAcentral also lists the same sequence under 1 other name. Lineage: Eukaryota; Fungi; Basidiomycota; Tremellomycetes; Trichosporonales; Trichosporonaceae.